GAACCCAGCUUGUUUCAAAUCCCAAACCCCUCCCUCGUCCCUUGGGCUGGUUUCUGAUGAACCUUCCCCGCCUGCAGCUGCUUUCAGAGGCGUGAAGUUAAUUUUCCUGUGAGCAGCAACAGCUGAGAACCUCAGAUUCGGUCGCUAGAGGACAAACCAUGGAGGCGAGUUUCAUUAUCAGCAUUUGGCUGUUUAUUCACGUAGGUGCGGUGCUGGGUGACUCGGUCCACUCUAAGGACUCCCAAAUGUCCGGAGUAGAAAGAGGCUCUGUGACUCUCAAUUGCGCCUACACUACCAGCUAUUCCAGUUCCCUCUCUCUCUACUGGUACCGCCAGUAUCCCAACCAAGCCCCGCAGUACAUUCUGCAGAGAGGCGCCAAGGGGAACACAUACGAUCAUACUGCAGAUUUCGCCAAGCAGAGGUUUUCUGCUCAGGCCGAUGACAGCUCCACAGUUCUGAACAUCACAGUCCUGGAGCCGACAGACACAGCGGUGUAUCUCUGCGCCCUGCAGAGGGCACAGUGACAGAGCCACAUAGCAGAUCUGUGCAAAAACCCUCUCUCCUUUCUGUAAAUGGAUUUAGAAGCAGGGGCCUUUGGCAGCUUUGUUAUACUGUGAAGAAACUCAUCAUUUGUAGUAAUUUUGGU
Molecule: non-coding RNA, 646 nt
Organism: Gopherus evgoodei (Goodes thornscrub tortoise)
Lineage: Eukaryota; Metazoa; Chordata; Testudines; Testudinidae
Source: the annotation of a RefSeq genome assembly